Molecule: microRNA, 22 nt
Filed under: Drosophila mojavensis
Lineage: Eukaryota; Metazoa; Arthropoda; Insecta; Diptera; Drosophilidae
Also listed under: 1 other name
Description: Dmo-Mir-1003_3p (mature (co-guide))
Source: RNAcentral
UCUCACAUCUCUUUAUUCACAG